Molecule: long non-coding RNA, 409 nt
Filed under: Equus caballus (horse)
Lineage: Eukaryota; Metazoa; Chordata; Mammalia; Perissodactyla; Equidae
Description: lncRNA (ENSECAG00000056226.1)
Source: RNAcentral
CAGAUUUCCAGCCCUACUUUGAGACACACUCUCUAGGAAGGUGCUGUUCUUGCAAACUACCCAGAUGACUCUGAAGUGCAAUCAAAUUCAAGAACUUGCAUCAGGACGAGGACUGCUCAAAUCCAGCUUCCUAAUCUUACGCCGUGGAGCCCAGCCGGGCCCAACUUCCCCACUGAUGCUCUAUUCCUGGGAAAAUUGUUUUGAAUUUGGGACACUUAAAAGGGACCUCCAAGAUAUGCCCCUGCCUGUGUGUGCAGGAAGACUUCAGGACAUCACCUGCAUGCAUUCCCAGGGAGGGCUGUACCGCUUUACUCAGUCCAAAAAAACUCCCUGCUUCCACCCUUUCUGCCUCUUAUGAAGCAACAGUGGAGAGGAAAAACAAAACCCAUUCCUUUAAGAAAGAUUCCGC